GCUUGGUAAAAGUUCUUGUUGGGGAAAGAUAAAGUAUACCAUCAAGUGAAACGUAUUACGAUUGGAACGAAUUGUUACCCCUUACACAGGAUUUUUUUAAAGUUUUUGUUUCAUUAUCAAGAAUAGCAGUCGAUAGUUGAAAUCAAUUCAUAGUGUUUAUUUCAAUCGAAAUAACACUUGAAAGCUAUUUCAACAACGCCAGCGUGUGUGGUUAUUUAGACGACAUAUAUAUGUUCUUUAAAUAAUCAGUCAAGUUGUUUUUUUAUAAAUGUAAAAUGUUAGUAAUUCACCCUCACUUACUCUUAUUAUAUUCAAUUUUUAAAGUUUAGACGUAGUAUUAGAAUGUCUCUCAAUGGUCGUCUUACGAUAAACAAUCAAAAAUACCAAAUUCCGAGGAUAAUUCUAAACGGAAAGUCCCUAAGCAAAUGGCAAAAUCAAAAGCUCAAACAUAUCAAACGAAUGGAAAACAACUGUCAUAUUCCCGAAAUGGUACAUUCAUUUUCUUUCUGUUUAAAUGAUAAACUUUAUCCCCAAUAGUUAAUAUUCCGUUUCUUGCUGAUGAUGUUCUGUUUGGAUUCUCAUAGAGUGCUUAUUUCUCAGUUAGUUCAUAUGCGCGUUUUCGUUUGUCGUAUGAUCUCAUAAUUCAAUGAACGUAAUAUUUUUAUUUUAUCUCACUUAUACUUGAUUGUCAAACAAAAGGAGUAAGUUCGGUAAGAGCCAUAUUUUAGAAACUAAAUAUCAAAGUCAGAUCUGUAAAUAUUAUGUCAAAAUAAAAAAAAAAAUCGACGCAUACGCUUAUGUUUCCUGUCAAAAAAAAAACAAUUGAAAUGUACACGUUUUUAUUGAAUUUUUGUGAAAAAUUCAAAUAAGUGAUAUUUGUUGAGUCAAAAAUAAAACCCAAGCACGUGAAUUUUCAACGAAAAGAUGUACUUCCCAUCUAGUCAUUGUGUUAACAAGGUGCAUUGUGGUAUUGGUCAAUAAAUCGUUAUUUGGAAUUUUAGCUAUACAUAGGGGCGUUAUCGAACCUACUUUUUUACUUACAUUUUUCACAAAUUCAGAUAUGUAUUGUUGAAAGAACGUUCUGAUCAUUGCAGGCAUUUAGCAAACGGAUUAUAUUAACACCAAGCUUUUUUAAUAUCAUUUGACAAAUUAGACUUCAGAAACUGUUCUUCAGAUUUAUCAUGUUGGCUUUGCAGACUUAUUGAUAGAGG
This 1211-nucleotide long non-coding RNA is filed under the name Mytilus galloprovincialis (Mediterranean mussel). The record is from RNAcentral. Lineage: Eukaryota; Metazoa; Mollusca; Bivalvia; Mytilida; Mytilidae.